This 81-nucleotide transfer RNA is filed under the name Dreissena polymorpha. It matches the Rfam family "tRNA". Rfam says of the family: Transfer RNA (tRNA) molecules are approximately 80 nucleotides in length. Their secondary structure includes four short double-helical elements and three loops (D, anti-codon, and T loops). Further hydrogen bonds mediate the characteristic L-shaped molecular structure. tRNAs have two regions of fundamental functional importance: the anti-codon, which is responsible for specific mRNA codon recognition, and the 3' end, to which the tRNAs corresponding amino acid is attached (by aminoacyl-tRNA synthetases). tRNAs cope with the degeneracy of the genetic code in two manners: having more than one tRNA (with a specific anti-codon) for a particular amino acid; and 'wobble' base-pairing, i.e. permitting non-standard base-pairing at the 3rd anti-codon position. Lineage: Eukaryota; Metazoa; Mollusca; Bivalvia; Myida; Dreissenidae. The record is from Rfam by way of RNAcentral.
GUUGUUGUAGCCCGAGUGGUUAAGGCGAUAGACUAGAUCUUUUGGGAUCUUCCCGCGCAGGUUCAAAUCCUGCCCACAAUG